GAUGAACGCUGGCGGCGUGCCUAAUACAUGCAAGUCGAGCGAACGGACGAGAAGCUUGCUUCUCUGAUGUUAGCGGCGGACGGGUGAGUAACACGUGGAUAACCUACCUAUAAGACUGGGAUAACUUCGGGAAACCGGAGCUAAUACCGGAUAAUAUUUUGAACCGCAUGGUUCAAAAGUGAAAGACGGUCUUGCUGUCACUUAUAGAUGGAUCCGCGCUGCAUUAGCUAGUUGGUAAGGUAACGGCUUACCAAGGCAACGAUGCAUAGCCGACCUGAGAGGGUGCUGGCCCACACUGGACCUGAGACACGGCCCAACCCCCUACGGGAGGCAGCAGGAGGAAAUCUCCCGAAAAGGGCGAAAGCCUGACGGAGCAACGCCGGGUGGGUGAUGAAGGUUUGCGGCUCGUAAACCUCUUUUAUUGGGAAAAAAAAAUUGUGUAAGUAACUGUGCCAAUUUUACCUGGACCAAAUAAAAAACCCCCGGCUAACUACGU
RNAcentral lists this ribosomal RNA (496 nucleotides) under uncultured bacterium. RNAcentral describes it as "partial 16S ribosomal RNA". It matches the Rfam family "Bacterial small subunit ribosomal RNA", at positions 28 to 506 of the family's 1533-position model. The record is from RNAcentral.